RNAcentral lists this ribosomal RNA (271 nucleotides) under uncultured prokaryote. RNAcentral describes it as "partial 16S ribosomal RNA". It matches the Rfam family "Bacterial small subunit ribosomal RNA", at positions 524 to 794 of the family's 1533-position model. The record is from RNAcentral.
UACGUAGGUGGCAAGCGUUGUCCGGAAUUACUGGGUGUAAAGGGCGUGUAGGCGGGAAGGCAAGUCAGAUGUGAAAGCCCAUGGCUUAACUGUGGAACUGCAUCUGAAACUGUUUUUCUUGAGUACUGGAGAGGAAAGUGGAAUUCCUAGUGUAGCGGUGAAAUGCGUAGAGAUUAGGAGGAACACCAGUGGCGAAGGCGGCUUUCUGGACAGUAACUGACGCUGAGGCGCGAAAGCGUGGGGAGCAAACAGGAUUAGAUACCCCCGUAGU